Molecule: ribosomal RNA, 465 nt
Filed under: Vreelandella stevensii
Lineage: Bacteria; Pseudomonadati; Pseudomonadota; Gammaproteobacteria; Oceanospirillales; Halomonadaceae
Description: partial 16S ribosomal RNA
Rfam family: Bacterial small subunit ribosomal RNA
Source: RNAcentral
CCUACGGGUGGCUGCAGUGGGGAAUAUUGGACAAUGGGCGAAAGCCUGAUCCAGCCAUGCCGCGUGUGUGAAGAAGGCCUUCGGGUUGUAAAGCACUUUCAGUGGGGAAGAAAGCCUUGGGGCUAAUACCCUCGAGGAAGGACAUCACCCACAGAAGAAGCACCGGCUAACUCCGUGCCAGCAGCCGCGGUAAUACGGAGGGUGCGAGCGUUAAUCGGAAUUACUGGGCGUAAAGCGCGCGUAGGCGGUCUGAUAAGCCGGUUGUGAAAGCCCCGGGCGCAACCUGGGAACGGCAUCCGGAACUGUCAGGCUAGAGUGCAGGAGAGGAAGGGAGAAUUCCCGGUGUGGCGGUGAAAUGCGUAGAGAUCGGGAGGAAUACCAGUGGCGAAGGCGGCCUUCUGGACUGACACUGACGCUGAGGUGCGAAAGCGUGGGUAGCAAACAGGAUUAGAUACCCUAGUCGUC